Molecule: ribosomal RNA, 714 nt
Filed under: Triticum aestivum (bread wheat)
Lineage: Eukaryota; Viridiplantae; Streptophyta; Magnoliopsida; Poales; Poaceae
Description: partial small subunit ribosomal RNA
Source: RNAcentral
AUGGCCGCCAAUGUUGGGGAAUCAGCGGCAGUUGGUGGCAGCAGCAGCGAUGCAGCUGGAGGGAGCUUCGAGUGCAAUAUUUGCUUUGAGUUGCCGCAAGAGCCAAUAGUAACUCUCUGUGGCCACCUAUUCUGCUGGCCGUGCCUCUACAGAUGGCUGCACAUGCACGCCAACACACCAGAGUGCCCUGUGUGCAAGGCCAUUGUUGAAGAAGACAAGCUUGUCCCCCUUUAUGGCCGUGGCAAGGACCGCGUCGACCCAAGGUCAAAGAACACGCCUGGAGGCGACAUUCCUCAGCGCCCAGCUGGCCAGAGGCCUGCUACAGCCCAACAGGCUGAUCCGAACAACAAUUUUGGCAACGCCCAUGCAAAUCCAUGGUUCAUGGGCAUGGGGGGCGCGGGGGCGGGGGCGGGAGUUCCACUGGCGAAUGGACGGUGGGGCAACUAUGCGUUCUCGGCUGCGUUUGGGGGCCUGUUCCCUAUGCUUAGCUUUCAAAUGCAUGGGUUCCCAGAUCCAGCUGCAUAUGCUCAGCCUGCCGGGUUUCACUAUGGGUUUGGUCACGGCCAUGGGUUCCAUGGCGGGCAUAUGGGGCACGCCCACGGCGUCCCCCGCCAAGGACCGCUAGGGCAGCAGCAGCAGCAGGCAGAUGUCUACCUGAAGGCCCUUCUUAUCAUGGUCGGAGUUCUUGUGAUCGCAAGCCUCCUCGCAGCUUAA